Molecule: non-coding RNA, 192 nt
Organism: Camelina sativa (false flax)
Lineage: Eukaryota; Viridiplantae; Streptophyta; Magnoliopsida; Brassicales; Brassicaceae
Source: RefSeq, a predicted model, not a curated record
CACUUACAUGAAUUUGCUUGUACCCUCCUCCUCCUCCUCAGGGAAAGAAGAUGCCAACAGAGUGAGCCUCAAAUUCGACAGGGUCAAGUACUGGUUAUCAGUUGGAGCUCAACCAACAGACUCGGUCGAGAACAUGCUUUUCAGGGCAGGUCUGAUACCCCCAAAGUCCAUGGUUGUUAAAGGUUCAAAAAA